GAAAGCCUGUUAAAAUUUAUUAACAUCUCCUGAAUGCAACUCAGAUACCUUAAUUAAGCUAAGACUUC
RNAcentral lists this transfer RNA (68 nucleotides) under Kinyongia uluguruensis. Its description in RNAcentral is "transfer RNA-Ala". The record is from RNAcentral. Lineage: Eukaryota; Metazoa; Chordata; Lepidosauria; Squamata; Chamaeleonidae.